AAGUCGAACGCAGUAGCAAUACUGAGUGGCAAACGGGUGAGUAUAAUGUGGGAAUCUGCCCUCAGGAGGGGAUAACGGCUGGAAACGGCCGCUAAUACCCCAUAUACCGAGAGGUGAAAUGAAUUUCGCCUGAGGAUGAGCUCGCGUCUGAUUAGCUAGUUGGUGUGGUAAAGGCUCACCAAGGCAUCGAUCAGUAGCUGGUCUGAGAGGAUGAUCAGCCACACUGGGACUGAGACACGGCCCAGACUCC
RNAcentral lists this ribosomal RNA (250 nucleotides) under unidentified marine bacterioplankton. RNAcentral describes it as "partial 16S ribosomal RNA". It matches the Rfam family "Bacterial small subunit ribosomal RNA", at positions 59 to 339 of the family's 1533-position model. The record is from RNAcentral.